CCGAGAAUAUUCGACAAUGGGCGAAAGCCUGAUCGAGCGAUACCGCGUGGUGGAUGAAGUGCUUCGGCACGUAAACAUCUUUUAUGAGGGAGGAAGUUAUUGACGUUACCUCAUGAAUAAGGGGCUCCUAACUCUGUGCCAGCAGGAGCGGUAAUACAGAGGCCCCAAGCAUUACCCGGAAUUACUGGGCGUAAAGGGUGCGUAGGUGGUCAUAUUAGUCGAUCGUUAAAUAUCCAGGGCUCAACCUUGGAAACCCGAUCGAAACGGUAUGACUCGAGGGAGUGAGAGGUGAAUGGAACUCAUGGUGUAGGGGUGAAAUCCGUUGAUAUCAUGGGGAACACCGAAAGCGAAGGCAAUUCACUGGCACUUUCCUGACACUCAAGCACGAAAGCGUGGGUAGCGAACGGGAUUAGAUACCCCCGUAGUCC
This 428-nucleotide ribosomal RNA is filed under the name uncultured bacterium. Its description in RNAcentral is "bacterial SSU rRNA". It matches the Rfam family "Bacterial small subunit ribosomal RNA", at positions 355 to 796 of the family's 1533-position model. The record is from RNAcentral.